CGCGGGGUGGAGCAGUUGGCAGCUCGUCGGGCUCAUAACCCGAAGGUCGUAGGUUCAAGUCCUGCCCCCGCAACCA
RNAcentral lists this transfer RNA (76 nucleotides) under Acinetobacter baumannii. RNAcentral's name for it is "tRNA-Met". It matches the Rfam family "tRNA". Rfam says of the family: Transfer RNA (tRNA) molecules are approximately 80 nucleotides in length. Their secondary structure includes four short double-helical elements and three loops (D, anti-codon, and T loops). Further hydrogen bonds mediate the characteristic L-shaped molecular structure. tRNAs have two regions of fundamental functional importance: the anti-codon, which is responsible for specific mRNA codon recognition, and the 3' end, to which the tRNAs corresponding amino acid is attached (by aminoacyl-tRNA synthetases). tRNAs cope with the degeneracy of the genetic code in two manners: having more than one tRNA (with a specific anti-codon) for a particular amino acid; and 'wobble' base-pairing, i.e. permitting non-standard base-pairing at the 3rd anti-codon position. Lineage: Bacteria; Pseudomonadati; Pseudomonadota; Gammaproteobacteria; Moraxellales; Moraxellaceae. The record is from RNAcentral. RNAcentral also lists the same sequence under 69 other names.